UAACCAUCAACUAAGAGUCUCCAGAUCAGAGCAACCAUCAACUAGGAGUUGGAUUCCUGUCUCUGAGGGAUAAGGAAAAACAUGGAAACUGUUUACUACAGCGGGCAGCUGGAGCAGGAAACGAGGCAGCAGCUCUUUUCCUGGCAACCAACGGUGCCCAUGUCAACCACAGAAACAAGUGGGGAGAAACCCCAUUGCACACAGCGUGUCGGCAUGGCCUGGCCAACCUCACGGCAGAGCUCCUGCAGCAAGGCGCCAACCCAAACCUGCAGACGGAGGAAGCUCUGCCUCUGCCAAAGGAGGCCGCAUCCCUGACCAGCUUGGCGGACAGUGUCCAUCUGCAGACACCACUGCACAUGGCAAUC
Molecule: small RNA, 365 nt
Filed under: Pongo abelii (Sumatran orangutan)
Lineage: Eukaryota; Metazoa; Chordata; Mammalia; Primates; Hominidae
Description: processed transcript
Source: RNAcentral